This is a long non-coding RNA of Malaclemys terrapin pileata, 398 nucleotides long. RefSeq lists it as uncharacterized. The transcript is spliced from 2 exons. The record is from RefSeq and is a predicted model, not a curated record. Lineage: Eukaryota; Metazoa; Chordata; Testudines; Emydidae.
AGACUCGUGCAUGUAUCUAGCAGGAAUUCCAUCUGCGUCUGCACCUGGGAUCGAGACUUGCCCUUGAGCAGCCCGUCGUCCAGGUCUUGCAUUAAGGACUGGGAUUCAACUGACAGCCCUGACAGGGAAAGCCAUGACGCCCAUCGCAUGGAGAUAGCCGUGGCCAUCGAACGAGCCGCCGUGUCAGCUGCAUCCGAGGCGGCCUGGAGAGCUGCUUUCGCUGCCGCCACACCCUCAUCAACUAGAGCCCUGAACUCCUUCCUAUCCUGCUUUUGGAGGGAGGGCUCGAAUUUUGGCAAGGAGCCCCACAAGUUAAAGUCAUACCUGCUCAGGAGUGCUUGAUGGUUUGCAACCCUGGGCUGGAAACUGGCAGAGGAAUAAACUUUUUUUCCCAAAAG